GAUGAACGCUGGCGGCGUGCCUAAUACAUGCAAGUCGAACGCAUUGAGAGAAGUGCUUGCACUUUUCAAUUUGAGUGGCGAACGGGUGAGUAACACGUGGGCAACCUACCUGAUAGCGGGGGAUAACGAGUGGAAACAUUCGCUAAUACCGCAUAACAAUAGAGAAGGCAUCUUCUUUAUUUAAAAGGCGCUUUCAAGCGUCACUAUCAGAUGGGCCCGCGGUGCAUUAGUUAGUUGGUGGGGUGAAGGCCUACCAAGACGAUGAUGCAUAGGCGAGUUGAGAGACUGAUCGGCCACAUAGGGACUGAGACACGGCCCAAACUCCUACGGGAGGCUACAGUAGGGAAUCUUCCACAAUGGACGAAAGUCUGAUGGAGCAACGCCGCGUGUGUGAUGAAGGCUUUCGGGUCGUAAAGCACUGUUGUAUGGGAAGAAAUGCUAGGCUAGGAAAUGAGCUUAGUUUGACGGUACCAUACCAGAAAGGGACGGCUAAAUACGUGCCAGCCGCCGCGGUAA
Molecule: ribosomal RNA, 516 nt
Filed under: uncultured bacterium
Lineage: Bacteria
Description: partial 16S ribosomal RNA
Rfam family: Bacterial small subunit ribosomal RNA
Source: RNAcentral